This 484-nucleotide ribosomal RNA is filed under the name uncultured bacterium. Its description in RNAcentral is "partial 16S ribosomal RNA". It matches the Rfam family "Bacterial small subunit ribosomal RNA", at positions 30 to 507 of the family's 1533-position model. The record is from RNAcentral.
AUUGAACGCUGGCGGCAGGCCUAACACAUGCAAGUCGAGCGGAUGAAGGGAGCUUGCUCCUGGAUUCAGCGGCGGACGGGUGAGUAAUGCCUAGGAAUCUGCCUGGUAGUGGGGGAUAACGUCCGGAAACGGGCGCUAAUACCGCAUACGUCCUGAGGGAGAAAGUGGGAGAUCUUCGGACCUCACGCUAUCACAUGAGCCUAGGUCGGAUUAGCUAGUUGGUGGGGUAAAGGCCUACCAAGGCGACGAUCCGUAACUGGUCUGAGAGGAUGAUCAGUCACACUGGAACUGAGACACGGUCCAGACUCCUACGGGAGGCAGCAGUGGGGAAUAUUGGACAAUGGGCGAAAGCCUGAUCCAGCCAUGCCGCGUGUGUGAAGAAGGUCUUCGGAUUGUAAAGCACUUUAGGUUGGGAGGAAGGGCAGUAAGUUAAUACCUUGCUGUUUUGACGUUACCAAAAGAAUAAGCACCGGCUAACUUCGUG